This 236-nucleotide long non-coding RNA is filed under the name Rosa chinensis. RNAcentral's name for it is "sRNA RchiOBHm_Chr6g0277291". The record is from RNAcentral. Lineage: Eukaryota; Viridiplantae; Streptophyta; Magnoliopsida; Rosales; Rosaceae.
AUGGUGGUCGUCGUAUUGUUUGGCUGUUAAAACCCUCUGCCAACCUCAUCUCUCAGGUAUAGUUUCUGGGUUUGAGUUUUUAUUGAUUUGAGAUGGACUUUGAAUUGGGUUUUCCUGAGGAGACCAAUCUUGUAUCUUUCUUAGUACUGCUAAUAUCUACUAAUACUACUGCAUCUAACAAUAUUGAAUCGCUGCAUGAAGUACCACUUGAAAGGAGCUUUCUGUUAGAUUUAUUU